CAAGCCUGGACAAAUUGGGCAGGCUGGCGAGCGAUGCAGGGACUGUCACCAGAAGAUUGCUGUGAAGAUGCAGCCGCCGCAGAGACUUCAAAUUGGCUGCAGAAAACAGGUACCUAAACAAUCUGGGAUGCUUGACAGCCGAUUCCCAGAGAGAUCCAGUUCUGUGCAGCUGUGCAGAUUUCCAACCUCUUCAGGGAGAUGUUCCAACACAUUUUCUGAGAGAUCCAGUUCCUCCAGUGCUGCCAGCUCCCCAAUGCUCUGAGCUGUGCAAAAAUUGCUCUUCUUCUAGAGGAUGGAUAAAGAAAGUGUUGCAGCAUCAACCUAACCAGGCUCCAAAAACCGGUCCUGACGCAGCUGUAGAGGCAAAGGAAGAAUAUAAGUAUCUAGAAGCUGAUUCUUGUUGAAAUCUGCGUGCAGCUCUGAGCAAGACUAAGAGCUGAUGCCCUGGCUUGGGGCACUGGAGCAAAAAAGCUCUAAGGCAGCUUGCUCUGCAGAUAUGGAAAGAUGGAAAAACACAAACAUGAAGCUAGGCGAUGGG
Long non-coding RNA from Lagopus muta (rock ptarmigan), 538 nucleotides. RefSeq lists it as uncharacterized. NCBI's taxonomy places the organism in Eukaryota, Metazoa, Chordata, Aves, Galliformes, Phasianidae. The transcript has 3 exons. The record is from RefSeq and is a predicted model, not a curated record.